This is a long non-coding RNA of Balaenoptera musculus (blue whale), 294 nucleotides long. RefSeq lists it as uncharacterized. The record is from RefSeq and is a predicted model, not a curated record. The transcript has 3 exons. Lineage: Eukaryota; Metazoa; Chordata; Mammalia; Artiodactyla; Balaenopteridae.
GGCCAAUUCACAAUAACUUACAGCUGCGACUCUUCUGACACCCACUCCACAAACUUCAGGUCUUUCUCAAGGCUACAUGACUGUAGAACCCAGUUGCUGUGAUGUGGGGAAGCCUGGACCAGCCCAUCUGGAGAGACUGUGUGGACAGGCACAGUGGAAAGGAAAUGAGUCCCUUAGAUGACAGCCAGUGUCAAUCACCAGAUUUGAAGAAGAUGGCAUCGUCCUUAGAUAAGUGCAUGGUUAUGGAUAUUGGUGAUUGGAGGGAAGAAGGAAGCAGUGAUGAUCACCCAUGAU